AAUAGAUACCCGGGUAGUCCACGCCGUAAACUAUGGAUGCUAGCUGUGGGGGGUAUCGACCCCUUCCGUAGCGAAGCUAACGCGUUAAGCAUCCCGCCUGUGGAGUACGGCCGCAAGGCUAAAACAUAAAGGAAUUGACGGGGACCCGCACAAGCGGUGGAGCGUGUUGUUUAAUUCGAUGGUAAGCGAAAAACCUUACCCAGGCUUGACAUCCCGAGAAUUACUCCGAAAGGAGUGAGUGCUUUAUUGAACUCGGUGACAGGUGUUGCAUGGCCGUCGUCAGCUCGUGUCGUGAGAUGUUUGGUUAAGUCCAUCAACGAGCGCAACCCUUAUGAAUAGUUGUAUUUUUCUAUUCAGACUGCCCCGGUCAACGGGGAGGAAGGAGGGGAUGAGGUCAGGUCAUUAUUACCCUUACGUCUGGGGCUACAAACGCGCUACAAUGGCCGGUACAAUGUGCAGCUAAGCAGCAAUGCGGAGCAAAUCACAUCAAAAGCCGGUCUCAGUUCGGAUUGCAGGCUGAAACUCGCCUGCA
RNAcentral lists this ribosomal RNA (532 nucleotides) under uncultured bacterium. Its description in RNAcentral is "bacterial SSU rRNA". It matches the Rfam family "Bacterial small subunit ribosomal RNA", at positions 777 to 1320 of the family's 1533-position model. The record is from RNAcentral.